Molecule: ribosomal RNA, 496 nt
Filed under: uncultured bacterium
Lineage: Bacteria
Description: partial 16S ribosomal RNA
Rfam family: Bacterial small subunit ribosomal RNA
Source: RNAcentral
GACGAACGCUGGCGGCGUGCCUAAUACAUGCAAGUAGAACGCUGAAGAGAGGAGCUUGCUCUUCUUGGAUGAGUUGCGAACGGGUGAGUAACGCGUAGGUAACCUGCCUUGUAGCGGGGGAUAACUAUUGGAAACGAUAGCUAAUACCGCAUAACAAUGGAUGACACAUGUCAUUUAUUUGAAAGGGGCAAUUGCUCCACUACAAGAUGGACCUGCGUUGUAUUAGCUAGUAGGUGAGGUAAUGGCUCACCUAGGCGACGAUACAUAGCCGACCUGAGAGGGUGAUCGGCCACACUGGGACUGAGACACGGCCCAGACUCCUACGGGAGGCAGCAGUAGGGAAUCUUCGGCAAUGGGGGCAACCCUGACCGAGCAACGCCGCGUGAGUGAAGAAGGUUUUCGGAUCGUAAAGCUCUGUUGUAAGUCAAGAACGGGUGUGGGAGUGGAAAGUUCACACUGUGACGGUAGCUUACCAGAAAGGGACGGCUAACUACGU